Molecule: long non-coding RNA, 775 nt
Organism: Homo sapiens (human)
Lineage: Eukaryota; Metazoa; Chordata; Mammalia; Primates; Hominidae
Gene: FAM74A6
Product: family with sequence similarity 74 member A6
Source: Ensembl
CAGGGUAGGGCUCCAGCUAAGCCACGUAGGCACUACGAUGGGCAACAGAAAGGUUGGUUUCUGGGCAAUUCAGAGAAACCAAGGACAGCUACCCCCAGAACUCAGAGUAGCCAACUGGGCUGCUCACAGGAGAUGCCUUAACUGAAAGGUGAUCAGACUCCACAGGAGACCCAGAGAAGAUGUGGAGGGAGCUCAGAGGCUGUCCUGGAGGAGACGUGGAGACAGCUCAGAGGCUGUCCCAGAGAAGACGUGGAAAGAGCUCAGAGGCUGUCCCAGAGAAGACGUGGAGAGCUCAGAGGAUGUCCCAGAGAAGACGUGGAGAGAGUUCAGAGGCUGUCCCGGAGAAGACGUGGAAAGAGCUCAGAAACUCAGAGACUGUCCCGGAGAAGACAUGGAAACAGCUCAGAGGCUGUCUGCAAGAAGACGUGCAGAGAGUUCAGAGGCUGUCCCGGAGAAGACAUGGAGAGAGCUCAAAGGCUGUCCACAAGAAGAUGUGGAGAGAGUUCAGAGGCUGUCGUUACUGCUGCACUUGGCUGUUUUUCUUUGGAUAAUUAUUGCAAUCAAUUUUAGUAAUUCAGGUGUUAAAUCACAGUCAAGCACCUAUUUACCUAGUGUGGUCUGAUGAAUUUCACUUCUUUGAUACUUUUUGAGAGAGCUGAGAGUCCAUUUCCUGAGGAAGAAACUCAGAGAAAACAAAUGUAAAAUCCUUAAGUAAGUCAUAUUUGGUUGGGAAGAUCAAAGAAAUCACCCAGUCUCCCACAUCCGAAAUUGUGCA